RNAcentral lists this ribosomal RNA (497 nucleotides) under uncultured bacterium. RNAcentral's name for it is "partial 16S ribosomal RNA". It matches the Rfam family "Bacterial small subunit ribosomal RNA", at positions 28 to 507 of the family's 1533-position model. The record is from RNAcentral.
GAUGAACGCUGGCGGCGUGCCUAAUACAUGCAAGUCGAGCGAACGGACGAGAAGCUUGCUUUUCUGAUGUUAGCGGCGGACGGAUGAGUAACACGUGGAUGGCCUACCUAUACGACUGGGAUAACUUCGGGAAACCGGAGCUACUACCGGAAAAUAUUUUGAACCGCAUGGUUCACGAGUGAAAGACGGUCUUGCUGUCACUUAUAGAUGAAUCCGCGUUGCAUUAGCUAGUUGGUAAGGUAACGGCUUACCAAGGCUACGAUGCAUAGCCGACCUGAGAGGGUGGUCGGCCACCUUGGAUGUGAGACACGGUCCCGACUCCUACGGGAGGACGCAGUAGGGAAUCUUCCGCGAGGCGCCAAUGCCUGAUGUAGCAACACCGCGUGAGUGAUGAAGGUGUUCGGCUCGUAAAACGCUGUUAUUAUUGAAGAACAUAUGUGCAUUUAACCGUGCACAUAUUGACGGUACCGAGACAGAAAGCCCCGGCUAACUACGUG